CAGACCCGCACCACACUUUUAGAAAGGCAAGGGGGUGGCGUGUGGGGGGAGUCCAGCCUAGUUCCUGAGUUUAGGCAAAUGUUUGUUGAAAUAAGUGGAGAUUUCCUGGUUUUCUUUUUCGAGGAAAAAAAAGGAAAGAAACAAAGUUUCUUUAUAGGAUGAGCUCAGGGUGUUUUGCAAUUACCCUUACUUGUGCUUGAGCUCUUUUUUCCCCUUGUUGAGUAGGAACAGACAAUGUUUUCCAUUCCAGUUUCUUCUUACAGUUGCAGAGUGGGUGCCGAUGGGUGCAGUGUUGUGGCUUUUACUGGUGAGCCAAAUAUCACAGCUAGAAUGGAUGGUGGAAGGCAUUAUGGACGUAAGUAAGAGCAGCACUAACAUUUGCCUUUAUAUGUGGACUGAGACGAGAGGGCGGUGAGAGAUUUCUUCUAAAUAGGUUAAUAAUUAAGCUUCUGAGCAUCUGCCAGGCCCGUGAUGUUGUUGUGUUUUGUUUUUUGUUUUUAUUGAAGAAUCCGUUAUGUCACUGUCAUAGCUGAAUAUAUUUAAAGUAUUUAAUUUAUUCUUCCUUUUUUUUUUAAAAACUUGUGCUUGUUUUAGUUAUUUCUAUGAUUAUUAUUCAGCCACUAUUUUUUGUAGAACACCUGUGACUUGUCACACGGACAACAUUUGCUUUUCACACCAUUAGGAGAGGUGUAGACUGACCAGGAGAAGAGAGACUUGACUGUAGGCUGGAAAGUCAAAUCGGAUGAGGCCAGUGGACUUCGGGGAUGGUGCUGAAUAACCGAUGUGUUCGCUGAUGAGGAUUUUGAUUAUUUUCAAAAAUAAAAACAUUUUCAAAUAAUAUUUAUUUUUGUUUCUUUCAGAAAGUCUUGUGUGAACACCUUCUAGUUAUAUUUAGUGACAGUAAUUUGCUCCAGCCUGGAAAAUUUCCUCUUGUUUCUUUCAAACCCUAAUGUUUUUAAAAGAGCAGCAACUUCAUUUUCAUUUCCCCGUCACAACACUAUAUUUAAUCAUUAUAAUUCCUUAGGAAAGCUUAAUCAAAUUAAAAAUAUAAAUAUGUAUGGGAAAAAUACUUUCUAAAAUUUUACAUUCACGUUAUUUUAAUUUAACUGGAUAAUGUAAAAAAUAUAUAAAUUAUUAUUAUCAUUUUACUUACACACUGUAAACAUUUUUUUAAAGCAUGAAGGUUAACAGGUGGAACUUUAAUGUGUGUUUUGUUUUUGUGGCAUUAAACAUAAUGUAAAUAUAAAGCUGAUUACACAGUAUAACGUUGCUUGUUGACUUCAGUCCAACAGGUGGUUCUGAGAAUUUCAAAUAGUAGGUGCUUACUGUCACCAGCCUUUUGAAGUAAUCGAGUUCUUAUAAAGCUUAGUCUGAUUAUAGUCCAUGAUAUUGUUAUUUAGUUUUAUUGUACUUGUAAGUGGAUUCUACUCCCACAAGGUUUUCUCAGCGCUCUGACUUGCAUGUCCAAUAUUAUUAGUUGCUAUGAGUUCAGCCUGCGCAAAUCUGUUAAUGCAUAAGACCAUAAGAGCUUCUUAUGUUCCAAGCCAGGUCAGAGUGAAGACACAUCAGAUUAAUAUUUGAUCAUGCAGAAGGGCCCUUAAUCAGAUUUGCUUAUUCCCUUAGCUGAGUGCUCUGCAGCAAUUAUCAUAAUUGUUGCGCUAAACAUGCUUGUCUUUACGGCUAGCGGUUGGACGUGAGCGUAUGCUGUGAGAGGGGGAUUCCAGUACCAAACCCAAUUAGUGCAGGAUGGAUGGAUGGGCAUGCCGAGGGAGAUGGAGGAUAUAGAGAAGAGGAAGGGGAGGGCCAUGGGCAGGGAUGCUGGUCCAACUCACAGUGACAUAGCCCAGGGCAGCACAGUUAACUCCAGCCACCUGGAGCUCUUCAGGACAGGCUCUCCCCAUGCUGUAAUCUGCCCUCAGCCAUGCCACCAGCGCCUGCUGAUAUGAGGGAAAUUAGAGAUGCACCAGCAAAAUGGCAAUUUCAGUCUACAAGUGUCUAUUCAAUUGCAAAACUCUGUGAUUUUCUGUGCCGAUAGUUUUCAAACUUCAUAGUAUUUUUUUUUCCCACAAAGAGAAGUCAUAUUAAUAUUAAUGCUGAAAGUGUGCAUAAUAAACCAGGGAAAUAUAGACUUUAGUUUGCAUUUGAGGAAAUACCAGCACUCGUCUGCUUAUUAGGACCGAAGAGGCUCAUAGUUCAUUCAGUUACCCGCAUAAGUUUAUGCUGAAUUACUGUAUAUUUAUCCAGAAACAUGAAAACAGAAAAUGUAGAUAUACAGUAACAUUCAUAGAUAUUGCUCUUUUAUUUGGAUUAUCUAUUAAAAUACAUUAAGAACAAUGUGACCAGAUUUCCAGUAACUUUUCUGAGAUAUGUGGUUUAUGCAACACUGAUGGAAGCAACUACAUUGAUUUUCAUGUAAAUAUAUGAAGGAUUUUUUUGUAAUUAAAAUAAUUUGAUGUUUUAUUUUUAAGUAAAAACAAUAAAUUAAAGAUUAAAAAAACAAAAACAAUUUUGAUGACUGUGUUAAGCAUACAACAUAUUUUUGAAUAAUAAGUAUAUGGAACCUACUACCUGAAGCUGAAUGAAAAGUGAUUUGUAAAGGAAUCGAUGCAACUUUGUUAAAUGUUUUACAACAUGUAGUUUUAUAAAACUCCCUGCAUUUAUUUUUGCUUCAAAAUGAAUAUCUCAUAAAAUGAUCACAACAACUUUCAAAGUAUUUACAGAAUAUAUUUCUUUGGUGGUAUUUCUGAGGUUUUGCUGAAUGUGUGAAGAUAAUAACCUUUUCGAUGGAAGACAUUUGUGACUCAAAUCCUGUUCUUGUUUUAAGCAAAACCAAUAAAAAUACCAAAGCAGAA
This is a long non-coding RNA of Oreochromis niloticus (Nile tilapia), 2852 nucleotides long. RefSeq lists it as uncharacterized. The record is from RefSeq and is a predicted model, not a curated record. The transcript is spliced from 2 exons. Lineage: Eukaryota; Metazoa; Chordata; Actinopteri; Cichliformes; Cichlidae.